GUGCUCGGUCAGGGGUAGGGCUCUGUCAGAUCUCCCGGGUCCCUUGGGCGCACCGCUGGGUUUAGACCAGAAGAAACUUCACAGGUUGGAUUGAAAAGCCAGAGGGGUCUAUGGAAAUUUCCAGGCCUGGCACUGGAAGGAGGAUCUCCCUGUCAGACAAAGGAGGAUCCCAAGCCCUUCCGUGGUCACCUACGGGUCAGAGCCUGACAAGCAGCAACUGCUCCUGAGGACCUUCAGACUUGGAGGAAGGACUUAGUAAGAACCUUGGAAACUGGACUUGGUGUAUACCUGCAAUCCCAGCUACUUGGGAGGAUGAGACUAUGAUUGACUGCAGAAAACUGAAACUGCGGAGAGUGAAUCUGUGGGUCAGAGCAACUACUGGACUGGUUCCCUCCUCCUGGCUAACCUUGUUCUCAGUUGAGCCCAGCCUUUGCAGACACCCAGAGGCAUUGCUGGCGGCAGCCACUCCCAUCUUACACACCAUGGGGCUGACGUGCAGACUCUCAGGGCACUUACUCUCAGGGUUACGAGAGUAUAGGGGUGGCUUGGGAGAGUCUCCUUAAAUUCUGCACCCCAGAGCUUCCCCCAACCCACUGAGAUGUGUGGG
RNAcentral lists this long non-coding RNA (607 nucleotides) under Heterocephalus glaber (naked mole-rat). Its description in RNAcentral is "lncRNA (ENSHGLG00100037432.1)". The record is from RNAcentral. Lineage: Eukaryota; Metazoa; Chordata; Mammalia; Rodentia; Bathyergidae.